GAUGAAGAACGUAGCGAAAUGCGAUAAGUAAUGUGAAUUGCAGAAUUCAGUGAAUCAUCGAAUCUUUGAACGCACAUUGCGCCCCUUGGUAUUCCGAGGGGCAUGCCUGUUCGAGCGUCAUUAUAACCCUCAAGCUCAGCUUGGUGUUGGGGCCUGCUGCACUGGCAGCCCUUAAAAUCAGUGGCGGCGCCAUCUGGCUCUAAGCGUAGUAAUUCUUCUCGCUAUGGAGUCCUGGGGAUGCUUGCCAUCAACCCCCAAUUUUUCUAUGGUUGACCUCGGAUCAGGUAGGGAUACCCGCUGAACUUAAGCAUAUCAAUAAGCGGAGGA
Molecule: unclassified non-coding RNA, 327 nt
Filed under: soil metagenome
Description: partial contains 5.8S ribosomal RNA, internal transcribed spacer 2, and large subunit ribosomal RNA
Rfam family: 5.8S ribosomal RNA (bases 1-120)
Source: RNAcentral